CCUGUGAGGGUUGCUGGAGGUAUCAGAAGUGCGAAUGCUGACAUAAGUAACGAUAAAGCGGGUGAAAAGCCCGCUCGCCGGAAGACCAAGGGUUCCUGUCCAACGUUAAUCGGGGCAGGGUGAGUCGACCCCUAAGGCGAGGCCGAAAGGCGUAGUCGAUGGGAAACAGGUUAAUAUUCCUGUACUUGGUGUUACUGCGAAGGGGGGACGGAGAAGGCUAUGUUGGCCGGGCGACGGUUGUCCCGGUUUAAGCGUGUAGGCUGGUUUUCCAGGCAAAUCCGGAAAAUCAAGGCUGAGGCGUGAUGACGAGGCACUACGGUGCUGAAGCGACAAAUGCCCUGCUUCCAGGAAAAGCCUCUAAGCAUCAGGUAACAUCAAAUCGUACCCCAAACCGACACAGGUGGUCAGGUAGAGAAUACCAAGGCGCUUGAGAGAACUCGGGUGAAGGAACUAGGCAAAAUGGUGCCGUAACUUCGGGAGAAGGCACGCUGAUAUGUAGGUGAAGCGACUUGCUCGUGGAGCUGAAAUCAGUCGAAGAUACCAGCUGGCUGCAACUGUUUAUUAAAAACACAGCACUGUGCAAACACGAAAGUGGACGUAUACGGUGUGACGCCUGCCCGGUGCCGGAAGGUUAAUUGAUGGGGUUAGCGGUAACGCGAAGCUCUUGAUCGAAGCCCCGGUAAACGGCGGCCGUAACUA
RNAcentral lists this ribosomal RNA (699 nucleotides) under Escherichia coli. RNAcentral describes it as "partial 23S ribosomal RNA". It matches the Rfam family "Bacterial large subunit ribosomal RNA", at positions 1260 to 1942 of the family's 2925-position model. Lineage: Bacteria; Pseudomonadati; Pseudomonadota; Gammaproteobacteria; Enterobacterales; Enterobacteriaceae. The record is from RNAcentral.